Molecule: ribosomal RNA, 400 nt
Filed under: phytoplankton environmental sample
Lineage: Eukaryota
Description: partial small subunit ribosomal RNA
Rfam family: Eukaryotic small subunit ribosomal RNA
Source: RNAcentral
AGCUCUGUAAGCGUAUACCAAAGUUGUUGCAGUUAAAACGCUCGUAGUCGGAAUUUGGCAGUUCCGGAAGUGUGCACGUCGUGUGCGCACUUUGCGGGGACUGCUUUUGUGGUCUUGCGUAGGAUGAGGCACUUUUAUUAGUGAACGUCCUCACGCAACCACUCUUUACUGUGAGAAAAUCAGAGUGCUCAAAGCAGGCAUUUGCCGUGAAUGUAUUAGCAUGGAAUAAUAGAAUAGGACUCGGUUCUAUUUUGUUGGUUUGUUGGGACUGAGUAAUGAUUAAGAGGGACAGUUGGGGGCAUUUGUAUUCCGGCGCUAGAGGUGAAAUUCUUAGAUUGCCGGAAGACAAACUGCUGCGAAAGCGUCUGCCAAGGAUGUUUUCAUUGAUCAAGAACGAAAG